UUGGCGGACGGGUGAGUAACGCGUGGAAAACCUGCCGUAUACUGGGGGAGUAACACUUAGAAAUAGGUGCUAAUACCGCAUAAGCGCACAGCUUCGCAUGAAGCGGUGUGAAAACUACUGGUGGUAUACGAUGGUUCCGCGUCUGAUUAGCUAGUUGGUGGGGUAAGUGGCCUACCAAGGCAACGAUCAGUAGCCGGCCUGAGAGGGUGAACGGCCACAUUGGGACUGAGACACGGCCCAAACUCCUACGGAAGGCAGCAG
This 261-nucleotide ribosomal RNA is filed under the name uncultured bacterium. RNAcentral describes it as "partial 16S ribosomal RNA". It matches the Rfam family "Bacterial small subunit ribosomal RNA", at positions 95 to 354 of the family's 1533-position model. The record is from RNAcentral.